RNAcentral lists this long non-coding RNA (535 nucleotides) under Oryzias javanicus (javanese ricefish). Its description in RNAcentral is "lncRNA (ENSOJAG00000008888.1)". The record is from RNAcentral. Lineage: Eukaryota; Metazoa; Chordata; Actinopteri; Beloniformes; Adrianichthyidae.
GCCAACAUGCCUGGAGUCCCUUUAUGACAAGGUCGAGAGUCAGAGCGCUCGGUUUCAGCAGUGUGUAAGUGGCUGUACAAGCCUCAAGAGCUGGAAGACACACCUGUCUACGGGCCUCCGAACAACCCAAAAACCUCCAGCACCCACGUAGAGUCCAGUUCAGAUUCUGGUACAGAGUCCACAUUGGACGGCUUGCUGCCAACAUGAUGGACGACGAUGGCGCUGACGAACCGCAGAUUUGGCAGAGAGUUCUGUGGGACGCGUCUCUCCCAGGAGGCUGAGGGAGGAAGAGCUGCUGACGUCUGAAGCAUCUGCUCGGGCGACCUGCUGACCAGCAGCGCAAGGACAGAGAGGUCUGCCUUAGUGUGAAAGGCAGAUAAAUAAACUUCGUAGAGCUCUUUCUUACUCCUCCUACAGUGAAGCUCUACUUAAACUAAUAUUACUUAAUAAUUCAUUUAUUGUCAUUUAGUAAGUUAUUUUUAUAUUAGAUUUUUUUAUUUGUCCUUUUUUAUCUCAUUUUCGUUCUUAGAUGCUC